GUGGCAGCAGCCGCGGUAAAACCAGCACCUCAAGUGGUCAGGAGGAUUAUUGGCCUAAAGCAUCCGUAGCCUGUUCUAUAAGUUUCCGGUUAAAUCCAUUAGCUCAACUAAUGGGCCGCCGAAAAUACUGUAGAACUAGGGAGUGGGAGAGGUAGACGGUAUUCGGUAGGAAGGGGUAAAAUCCUUUGAUCUAUUGAGGACCACCUGUGGCGAAGGCGGUCUACCAGAACACGUUCGACGGUGAGGGAUGAAAGCUGGGGGAGCAAACCGGAUUAGAUACCCGGGUAGUCCCAGCUGUAAACGAUGCAGACUCGGUGAUGCGCUGGCUUGUGGCCAGUGCAGUGCCGCAGGGAAGCCGUUAAGUUUGCCGCCUGGGAAGUACGUACGCAAGUAUGAAACUUAAAGGAAUUGGCGGGGGAGCACCACAAGGGGUGAAGCCUGCGGUUCAAUUGGAGUCAACGCCAGAAACCUUACCCGAAGAGACAGCAGAAUGAAGGUCAAGCUGGAGACUUUACCAGACAAGCUGAGAAGUGGUGCAUGGCCGUCGCCAGCUCGUGCCGUGAGAUGUCCUGUUAAGUCAGGUAACGAGCGAGAUCCCUGCCUCUAGUUGCCACCAUUACUCUCAGGAGUAAUGGGGCGAAUUAGCGGGACCGCCGCAGUUAAUGCGGAGGAAGGAAGGGGCCACGGCAGGUCAGUAUGCCCUGAAACUUUGGGGCCACACGCGGGCUGCAAUGGUAGUGACAAUGGGUUCCGAAUCCGAAAGGAGGAGGCAAUCCUCAAACGCUACCACAGUUAUGAUUGAGGGCUGUAACUCGCCCUCAUGAAUAUGGAAUCCCUAGUAACUGCGUGUCAUUACCGCGCAGUGAAUACGUCCCUGCUCCUUGCACACACCGCCCGUC
Molecule: ribosomal RNA, 899 nt
Filed under: uncultured archaeon
Lineage: Archaea
Description: bacterial SSU rRNA
Rfam family: Archaeal small subunit ribosomal RNA
Source: RNAcentral